AAAUNUNGNGGGCUCAAACCNCGAACGGUUCAUUGGAAANUGGAGGACUUGAGUACAGAAGAGGAGAGGUGGAAUUCCACGUGUAGCGGUGAAANNCGUAGNAGAUGUGGAGNAACACCNAGUGGCGAAGGCGACUCUNUGGUNUGUNAACUGACGCUGAGGAGCGAAAGCGUGGGGAGCGAACAGGAUUAGAUACCCUGGUAGUNCACGCCGUAAACGAUGAGUGCUAGGUGUUAGGGGGUUUCCGCCCCUUAGUGCUGAAGUUAACGCAUUAAGCACUCCGCCUNGGGAGUACGGCCGCAAGGCUGAAACUCAAAAGAAUUGACGGGGGCCCGCACAAGCGGUGGAGCAUGUGGUUUAAUUNGAAGCAACGCGAAGAACCUUACCAGGUCUUGACAUCCUUUGCCAUUCCUAGAGAUAGGAAGUUCCCUUCGGGGACAGAGUGACAGGUGGUGCAUGGUUGUCGUCAGCUCGUGUCGUGAGAUGUUGGGUUAAGUCCCGCAACGAGCGCAACCCUUGAUCUUAGUUGCCAGCAUUUAGUUGGGCACUUUAAGGUGACUGCCGGUGACAAACCGGAGGAAGGUGGGGAUGACGUCAAAUCAUCAUGCCCCUUAUGACCUGGGCUACACACGUGCUACAAUGGAUGGAACAAAGGGAAGCAAAACCGCGAGGUCAAGCAAAUNUCNUAAAACCAUUUUCAGUUUGGAUUGCAGGCUGCAACUUGCCUGCAUGAAGCCGGANUUGAGUUUGAUCCUGNNNCAGCAUGCCGCGGUGAAUACGUUCCCGGGCCUUGUACACCCCGCCCGUCACACCACGAGAGUUGGUAACACCCGAAGUNGNAGAG
Molecule: ribosomal RNA, 844 nt
Filed under: Oceanobacillus sp.
Lineage: Bacteria; Bacillati; Bacillota; Bacilli; Caryophanales; Bacillaceae
Description: partial 16S ribosomal RNA
Rfam family: Bacterial small subunit ribosomal RNA
Source: RNAcentral